AGGCACAUGAGCAUAAACUUACUCUUAAUUGAAGCUUAUCAGUGAUGGUGUAUGACAGUUCAUAUACUCUGGCAUUGAUUUAAUUUUAGUGUUAAUGUUUCUACCACCUCUUUCAAGCUUUUGAUUCAGUUCAAUUGAAAAUAGUUCUGAAAUUGCAAAACGGACCAUUUAGACGCUGGUACUAUUUGUAAGUAUUUAAUUGUACAUUCUAACACUGUCAAAUCAAUAAAAUAUAAAAAUAAAUUCCAUGAUGAGACUGAUAAAAACUUCAAUUGCUAUUUACAAUUCCAGUUUUAAAGUGUAGGUGUUAUUCCAAACAACCAGAUCAUUCUCAAUUUACUUAGAACAAGUUAGUGUUGUAAGUUAUAUGCAUAAUUUUACACAUAGACAUAUGAAAACUAUAUACUUUGUAAUUUGCAACUCCACAUAAUAUUUCAGUCUUUAAAGGUUUAUAAUUGAUAAAAAAUGGUUGAGAACCACUAACCUGAUCAGAACUCCUUUUUGACAGAUGGUGUAAGCAAGGUUGGAAGACAAAGAUAAUGUGAAAUGUCAGUGAGUUGGUGCCUCUGGCCUUCUCCAAGUCUUUAAUAUGCAAAAUUAAUUGUGAAUUUCCACCAACGAUGCCAUUUUAUUGGCUUAGUUUGGGAUCCUCCAGAAGCUGACCAUGAGAAGAGGAUUCAAAUGCCAGUGGUUUUUGGAAGAGGUGCAGAAAACAAAGGUCUAAUGAGUUGCCAACAUCAUCAAGGACCAGAGACAGCAUGGGGUACUGUUUACUUCUGAGAGGAAGGAAUGAAAAAGUGGCCUCUUGCCCUCUGCCAUGAUUGUGAGAUCUUCCCCGGUCGCAUGGAACUGUACUCUGGGGCUAAUAUUAGCUGAGAGCCAAUUUUUAUGUCCAAUUCAACUGGAGUUUCCUCACCAUGCUGGUAAAAUAAAAUCAGAGUCUAAAUAAGACUUCUCUUUUUAACAGACGUCCUAGCCAAAGAAUUUUUGUCAUUUCUCUGUGUCAGUGAGAAGAAUCUUAAAAUGUCAGCCUUUAGCUAUUAACAGGUAUAUAAUAUCUGCUCUUCAUCUUCCUCCAAACCAGGACUGUUGUAGCACUGGUUCAUGAACUCAUUAUCUACUGACUGCUUUUUUUUUUUUUUUUUUCGGCAUCUAGUAAUUUUCCUUUGUUACUUACUGACCACAUAAUAAAUGUUUAAAAGAAAUUGUUGUAUUUGUCUUAUUGUGUUGCAGGGAUUACAAUAGAGUUGCUGUACU
Long non-coding RNA from Callithrix jacchus (white-tufted-ear marmoset), 1257 nucleotides. RefSeq lists it as uncharacterized. NCBI's taxonomy places the organism in Eukaryota, Metazoa, Chordata, Mammalia, Primates, Cebidae. The record is from RefSeq and is a predicted model, not a curated record.